RNAcentral lists this ribosomal RNA (453 nucleotides) under uncultured bacterium. RNAcentral's name for it is "bacterial SSU rRNA". It matches the Rfam family "Bacterial small subunit ribosomal RNA", at positions 20 to 518 of the family's 1533-position model. The record is from RNAcentral.
UGGCUCAGAACGAACGCUGGCGGCAGGCUUAACACAUGCAAGUCGAGCGGGCCCUUCGGGGUCAGCGGCAGACGGGUGAGUAACGCGUGGGAAUCUACCCAUCUCUACGGAAUAACUCAGGGAAACUUGUGCUAAUACCGUAUACGCCCUUUUGGGGAAAGAUUUAUCGGAGAUGGAUGAGCCCGCGUUGGAUUAGCUAGUUGGUGAGGUAAUGGCUCACCAAGGCGACGAUCCAUAGCUGGUCUGAGAGGAUGAUCAGCCACACUGGGACUGAGACACGGCCCAGACUCCUACGGGAGGCAGCAGUGGGGAAUAUUGGACAAUGGGCGCAAGCCUGAUCCAAGCCAUGCCGCGUGAGUGAUGAAGGCCUUAGGGUUGUAAAGCUCUUUCACCGGUGAAGAUAAUGACGGUAGCCGGAGAAGAAGCCCCGGCUAACUUCGUGCCAGCCGCAGC